Molecule: ribosomal RNA, 200 nt
Filed under: uncultured bacterium
Lineage: Bacteria
Description: partial 16S ribosomal RNA
Rfam family: Bacterial small subunit ribosomal RNA
Source: RNAcentral
AACGAACGCUGGCGGCAUGCCUAACACAUGCAAGUCGGACGGGAUCCGGACUUCGGUUCGGCGAGAGUGGCGGACGGGUGAGUAACACGUGGGAACCUGCCUUUUGGUUCGGGAUAACCGCGGGAAACUGCGGCUAAUACCGGAUGCUCCCGAGAGGGAAAAGAUUUAUCGCCAGAAGAGGGGCCCGCGUCCGAUUAGGU